UACGGAGGGAGCUAGCGUUGUUCGGAAUUACUGGGCGUAAAGCGUACGUAGGCGGUUAUUCAAGUCAGAGGUGAAAGCCUGGAGCUCAACUCCAGAACUGCCUUUGAAACUAGAUAGCUAGAAUCUUGGAGAGGUGAGUGGAAUUCCGAGUGUAGAGGUGAAAUUCGUAGAUAUUCGGAAGAACACCAGUGGCGAAGGCGACUCACUGGACAAGUGUUGACGCUGAGGUACGAAAGCGUGGGGAGCAAACAGG
Molecule: ribosomal RNA, 253 nt
Filed under: uncultured bacterium
Lineage: Bacteria
Description: partial 16S ribosomal RNA
Rfam family: Bacterial small subunit ribosomal RNA
Source: RNAcentral